CCUACGGGAGGCAGCAGUAGGGAAUCUUGCACAAUGGGCGAAAGCCUGAUGGAGCAACGCCGCGUGGGUGAAGAAGGUCUUCGGAUCGUAAAACCCUGUUGUUAGAGAAGAAAGUGCGGGAGAGUAACUGUUCACGAUUCGACGGUAUCUAACCAGAAAGCCACGGCUAACUACGUGCCAGCAGCCGCGGUAAUACGUAGGGGGCAAGCGUUAUCCGGAUUUAUUGGGCGUAAAGGGAACGCAGGCGGUCUUUUAAGUCUGAUGUGAAAGCCUUCGGCUUAACCGGAGUAGUGCAUUGGAAACUGGUAGACUUGAGUUCAGGAGAGGUGAGUGGAACUCCAUGUGUAGCGGUGAAAUGCGUAGAGAUAUGGAAGAACACCAGUGGCGAAGGCGGCUCUCUGGUCUGUAACUGACGCUGAGGUUCGAAAGCGUGGGUAGCAAACAGGAUUAGAUACCCUAGUAGUC
RNAcentral lists this ribosomal RNA (465 nucleotides) under uncultured bacterium. RNAcentral describes it as "partial 16S ribosomal RNA". It matches the Rfam family "Bacterial small subunit ribosomal RNA", at positions 338 to 795 of the family's 1533-position model. The record is from RNAcentral.